This is a long non-coding RNA of Cyprinus carpio (common carp), 1027 nucleotides long. The record is from Ensembl. Lineage: Eukaryota; Metazoa; Chordata; Actinopteri; Cypriniformes; Cyprinidae.
CUUUCACACACAUUGACAGCAAUAACGGGAACUAUAUAAGGCUGCUAUUUAUUGACUAUAGCUCAGCUUUCAAUACUAUAGUCCCCAUAAAGCUAGCUUCUAAACUCAUAGACCUCGGCCUGAAUUCUUCACUCUGCAACUGGAUUCAAGACUUCCUCACCAGCAGACCUCAAGUGGUGAAAGUAGGCCAGUUCAUCUCCAGCUCCAUCACCCUGAAUGUAGGAGCCCCACAGGGCUGUGUCCUGAGUCCCCUGCUCUACGCUCUCUACACACAUGACUGCGUGUCUUCCCACAGCUCCACAUCUAUUAUCAAAUUUGCUGAUGAUACUGUGGUUCUGGGCCUCAUUCACAACAAUAAUGAGACUGCAUACUUGGAUGAGGUAGAGAAACUAACAUCAUGGUGCCAGGACAAUUGUCUCUCUCUGAAUGUGAGCAAAACUAAAGAGCUGAUUGUUGACUUCAGGAAGAGACAGCAGCGGCCCUAUACUCCUCUUAUGGUCAGCGGGACCCCUGUGGAGAGGGUGAGCAGCUUCAAGUACCUUGGUGUAAACAUCUCGGAGGACCUGACUUGGACUACACACAUCCAAACACAGGUUAAUAAAGCCAGACAAAGACUGUACCAUCUGCGACAGCUGAGGAAAUUCAGGGUUUUGCCAGCAAUCCUGAAAACUUUCUAUUCAGGGGCCAUAGAAAUGUAUUGACUCAGUGUAUCUCAGUGUGGUAGGGGAACAGCUCCAGUCAAGACUGCAAAGCCCUGCAGAGAGUUGUGCGCUUAGCAGAGCGCAUCUCAGGGUCUGCUCUCCCCUCUCUGCGGGACAUCUACCUCAGUACCAGUAACCCCAGUAACCAUCUUUUCACUUUGCUGCUAUCUGGUAAGCGCUUCCGUAGCCUGAUGGCAAAAACCGAGAGACUUAGGAGGAGUUUCUUCCCCCAGGCCAUCAGGCUCCUAAACUCAAAAUCAGCCUCUAAACAUCUACAUGUCUCCACUUAAUAUCCACUUAAUCAGUAAGAUAUUCAUCAUUCUCUA